CUACUACCUGGAACAACUUUGCGAUCACGGUGCGGCUCGGUAAAACUGCUGAUUCAAAAAAUAUAAUUGAAAAUUCGGUUUGCUCAGCAUUACAAGGACUGGAUAGUAAACUAAUAAAACAAAUAGCACAACACAUUUGAGCAUCCGACUACUGCUGCUAACUUAAAUGUUUGGUAGCAUGCCGCCAUGGUGUCACAAUGCUCUUCCCGCCGUCAAAUUCUGCGGCACCUCCGAAAACAGACUGCCAUGGUGUCACAAUGCUCUUCCCGCCGUCAAAUUCUGCGGCACCUCCGAAAACAGACUGCGAAAGCUAUCAAUAGCAGCACACGACUCACCAUCUGCUGAUGUGCGUGUACUGUGGGAGUGUGUUUGUAAAUCUGUCAUACUCUCGCGUCCCUUUCCUUCUUCG
Molecule: long non-coding RNA, 409 nt
Filed under: Triticum aestivum (bread wheat)
Lineage: Eukaryota; Viridiplantae; Streptophyta; Magnoliopsida; Poales; Poaceae
Description: long non-coding RNA (TAES_LNC025898)
Source: RNAcentral